This 1886-nucleotide long non-coding RNA is filed under the name Salmo salar (Atlantic salmon). Its description in RNAcentral is "lncRNA (ENSSSAG00000101515.1)". The record is from RNAcentral. Lineage: Eukaryota; Metazoa; Chordata; Actinopteri; Salmoniformes; Salmonidae.
AUAAAUUAUGUAAUAUGCCAGGGAGAUAUGUAUACUGUAGCUAAGAAAGUAAUACUUAGUGUAUGUUGUGUAGUAAGCUGUUAGUAGCCCAUGUGCCCCACCCUAAUAAUUUGGUCUAUUUUCUUCUCUUAACUUUGCCUACUGUUCUGACUUGGUGGUGCACAUGUAGCCUAUAACCUGUUUUAGAGAAAUGUCAUCAUCAAAUAUUGUAAGAGCUUUCAUUGUCUGCUUAUAUGCCCCCUUUAUUUAUCCUAUGGUUCAGACUUGGUUUACAGGGAGAACACUGUAAGAACGGCCCAUGUUCUGAAUUCUGUCGCUGUACUGUUGGGACUCUGCUGUUGGGACAACUUUGUGUAGGCCCUAACAGUUUGUGGGCAACGUUUGUCACCAUUUUAGUGAAAUUAAUCUAUUGUUUAGUGUUGUGUUGUUGCUUUUCCGGCAUUCAUCCCUCUUUUUUUGGUUUAUCCCACCAAGCUUUACAUGCUAAAAUCGUCACGGGUUGUAAUAUUAACUUACCAUAUGUAUCCAUCUUUGCACACAUGCCAGUACAUUUUCUGAUAGGACACCUUGAGCAGGCCUUUCUUCUGGAGGUAUUUCACCUUUUAAGCUGUUUUUUUGGCUACAAUAUAUGACUUAGCACACGAGCUAUUUUCAAUUAAAAAUCCUUGGGUCAGGUAUUGGAUUUGGGUGCGCACUUUAAGAGUAAAAAUUUGUAUCCAGCUGGAAAUUGGACCAAAAAAAAGAGAGUUCACUUGUUCACAUGUUGUUUAACGUCAUCGAGGACAAAACGCAGUGACAGUCAACGCUGACCAAGGCCAACCAUGAAUGUCUUACAAACAAUGUAAGAAGAUGGCCUCAUCAGCAGAGAUUGAUGCCAUAACUGAAUUGGUAGAUGUCGAGAUCCCUAAGUAAGAUGUAUGGGAACCAACUGUGGUUGCUGUAGAUGAUUAUGUACCUCCCAUAGAUGGGGACAACGUUGACAAGAUGUGUGAGUCGGACAAUAGCUCAGAUUUUUCAAGCUCAGACGGCUCGUCAUCCACUGACAGUGAAUAUGAAAAAAAGAAGAAGAAGAAGAAGGGGAAAAAAGGAAACAGCUAAAUCCAGAGGACUCGAGACCACAGCAGCGAUCCUGCUCUUGCUCUACUUCUUCAAUGAGGACCCGUGAUGUCCUUGGCAAGAUUUUACCGCUCCCUACUCCUUUACUGCACAUCGGCGGAAAUCCAUUUCACCAUGAGAGUGAAAUCAUGCUGGCCUUUGAUGGGGAGAACAUCCACGCCUUCGAGGACGUCCCCUUGGGACUUGGGGCUCUGCUAGGGCUGUAUUUUUUAUUCUCAGUUAAAUUUCCCCAAAAUGUCAGAAAAACACUUAUGUUCUUAAGUUACUGUGUUCUGGGGAUAAGAGAAGUUGGGUGAAGUUACCAAGGGCCGGUCAUAGAGAUGGCAAACUUGCAAACUUCCUAACAUAACUAAGUGGUUGUUGGGCAAGUGGUUGUUGGACACACACACACACAAAAGCAAAAAAAGCUGUAUUUAGCAUCACGUCUACAAUAUUGUUAGUUUACCUAUGAUUCAUUUUUAACGUUUGUUGUUUUUGUUGUACAACAUUAUUUUAUAAACAAAUUAAUUGUAAUGAAAAGCACUAUACAAAGUACAUUUAUUAUUUAUAAUGGUCUGACAUGCCUGCAAAAAUGUUGCAAUUUUGUAACAUGUUUUGUUUGAUCAAUUGUUUUGUAAAUAUGAAUUCACAUUUGUGGUGCCACUAAAUAAACAAUGAGUUAUUUAAAUCCAUGUUGUCAAUAUUGUUAUAAUUAUUAAAAUAUUGGAAAGGUAGUUAAACAAAUGAACCCCAAAAGGUUCUUAGAGGAACCAUUAUAAGGGGUUCUUCGA